RNAcentral lists this long non-coding RNA (4186 nucleotides) under Malus domestica (apple). RNAcentral describes it as "long non-coding RNA (MDOM_LNC013957)". Lineage: Eukaryota; Viridiplantae; Streptophyta; Magnoliopsida; Rosales; Rosaceae. The record is from RNAcentral.
AAAUAUAAAUAACGUCAAAAUAGUUUUUAAUUUUUAAUUUUAUUGUUAUAUUUUUCAUCUCUCCUACCAUCCUUCAUUCGCUCGUUUUUAUCUCUCGUUUUCCCAUGUACUCUCUCUAUUAUUAACACAAAAGUAAAAAUAAUAAAUGAAUUAAUUAUCAAAUAGACCCUAAAAUAAAAGUAAUCCAAUAACGUAGAGUAAGAGGGGGGGGUGAAGAUAUCAGAAAUAUAAUUUUUUAUUUAUUUAACGAAAAUAUGAUUAAACAUAUGGGCUGUUGGAGCGUAUCUUUUAAAAGUGAUUAAGAAAAUAAAUAGACUUUGAUUUGGUAAGUACAGUUAUAUAAGUCGGAUGAACCAUCCACAUCUUAAGUUAUCACAAAAUUAUGUUGGGAUGUUCUCUCUCGACAGCAACCAAUCACCCAUCAUUCCAGGUGGGCAGAUGCAUUUGGCAUAAGCCCCCACACUUCCUUCAUUUUUUGUCUAUUCUUCUCUUCUUGUAUGUAUCCAUUUCAACCCCAAGACUUACUAAUUACCCAUCCAAAUUUACAGAUUACAAUUCAGCUUAGAUUUACAAGUACGCUCACAUAUGACAUGUUUACUUAGUUCGAAUAAGAUGGAUUACAAAAAUAAAAAAUAGGAGAGAGAAGGAAUGUGGAUGAUCAAAUUAAUUAUCCUACCCUUAUCAAUCUAGUUCCUUACUUUUUAAGUUUUGGAUUAUGAAUUGUAAUGUGGAAUUCGCAUACUUUUUUUAUUCCAUAUAUGAUAAUUACCACAUGAUCAUCAUGAAUCAGAAUAAUUUUAAUACACAUACAAAUGUAAAUACAAAUGUAAACACAAAGAAAAAUCAAUGGACUAGAGUAUACAGACAUUGGUAAAUAGGUGCAGAAGCACAAAAAAAGUAUGACGGUAAUGUAGGUAGUUGGACAGGAAGCAGGAGCACAUGGCACAUAUUUGUAGCACAUGACCUUGGCAUGGAGUGCCACAACAAACCAUUAUCUAGGUAAGACAAACAAAUGAAUUCAUAUCAAGAAAUUUCCCAUACUUUUUCACCAACCAUUUCAUAACAUGAAAAAAGUUGAGGUUCCACUAUAAAAUUAAUUGACAAUUUAUGAAGUAGUCCAAUUAUUAAUUGGGAGCUUUUGAUAUUGGUGCCUCAUUCGCCAACUUGUUUGUUUAAACAUCUAUAGGUUUUAGGUUUUAGAUUGUACCACCUCCUCUAAAUGAGGAGCCAAGUAGAUUAAAAAAAAUGAUUUCAUUUUUCUAAAAUUUACGAACAUUGUCAUUCUUUCAAGCGUUGGGAAUUUAUUUAUUUUUACCAGUAGAUUUUUUCCUUUUGAAUUUAAUAUUUCAAUUCCAUUAAAAAUUGUCAUUAUCCUUUUUAUUUUGUUGUUAUCCUUGCAAUCUGGAAGUAUUAUCUCAAUGGCUUUUGAAUUUGAAUUGUUAAUGGUUGCUUACUCAAUAUAUAACAACAAUUGUACCCAAGUUAAAUAUGAUAUACAAACCCACUUGUUACACUAAAAAUGUAUACCACUGUUAACGUACCUAUUUGGAAAACUAUCAAUAAAUUUUUAGAACGUAUCUAAUAACUUUAAACAGAUGUACCCAAUUAUUGACAAACGUACCAAAUACCUUCCAACAAAAGUACUAAAUUAUAACUUCUAACGCACCUUUUUCUUAUUAAUUUGAUUCUUGGGUGCAUUUUAUCCCAAAUGUUUUGGUAUAUUUGAAGGCAUAACAUGAUCAAUUAUUAGGUACAUUUAUUAUGCAAUGUUAUUUUGGUGCAUAUCAAUGAUUUGAGAUGUAUAAAAUACGUUUAUUAAUUUAUUCGUACCAGUUAUUUGGUACAUAAAAUAAUAAUAUUGAAAGACAAACCACUCAUAUGGUAUGUUCUAUACUGUCCAAAUGCGUUCUCCGUCCUUCGUAGAAGCAUGCCUGUUGGGCGAGGUGGUUCCUAUUUGGUAUGUUUGAAGAUAUUGCCUCCUACAAACUUCUGUUUGACUGGCUAAUGCGGCCGGGGGCACUCUCAUUUGUAGUGAUAUCAUUUUUGCCAUACCAAACUAAGGGUUGCUCACCAAGCAUCAUGCCCCCAGAUCAAAAGCAUCGGUUAGAGAACAAGGAAAGAAAUCUGUUGAAGAAGAGUAGGAAAAAAAAAAUAAUUAAACAACAACUUACCAGCCGCACCCACAAGUAGCAGAAAACAUCGAAAACAUCAAGCAGCAAGAAACCUAAAAUACCUCAAAAGAGGAUUACUAUUCAAAUGUGAAUUACUAUUCAAAUGUGAAUUAAUAAAUUUAUGAAAGCAACCACUAAUUCAAAUGGAAGAGCCAUCCAAAUUUUAGACGUGAGAAUGAAUCUGGAUAAACACAACUAAUAAUUAAAAAAAAUAUCCCUGAAUAAAAGGCCAUGCCAGGAAAAAUGAAAAUGAAAAACCUCCGAAGAGGAGGAUAAAUUCGGAAUUCAAUAUGUAGCAUUUUAAUUUGGAGAAAUAUAGUAAUGAUAUAAAAAUUGAUUAAAUAAAAAAAAAACUGAUGUGGCACCUAGUCAAAGCACCUUAAUCAUAAUUUGAAAAGGCAUAGAUGUUUGAUCAAAACAAUGUAAAAUUUAAGCACCUUAAUUUAAUUAUCCCUUAUUAAUUAUAAGCACAUGCAAUAUUUUACUCCCCAAUGUGGGACUCAUACGUACUCUCAACAGGCUCCCUCAUGUGUGGUGAAUUUUCAAGCCUAAUACAUGAACAACAUAAAUGGGGUAAUGUGAAGUGCAUGUGGCCGUUGGUUUUCACAUGCAGGACAACUUGCUCUAAUACCAUGAAGAAAGUUGAGGUUCUAUCAUAAAAUCAAUUGGCAAUAUAAAGAGUAGACCAAUUACUUAUAAGCACAUAUAAGUCUCUUUUAUCCUCGAUGUCAGAUUCAUACUCUCAAUAUGGAACAAUAAUUCACUCAUAUAAAGAAAUUUCCCUUAUUUUACACAUCAAAUGAUUUCUCUCAAGUGUGAGGUAAUGAUAUAUAGCAGUCUUACUCAAACUUCUCUUCCACAUUGAAAUUAGAGAAGAUAAUAUGAUUUUUUUUUCCUCUUCAUAAAAGCUAAAACUGCAAUUUUUUAUUUAGGGUCGGUUUGAUAAUUAUUUUGUUUUACGUUUUUAUAUAUUAGUUUUUAGUUUUCAAACUACUUUCAAUUUUCUGAAAACCAAAAAGUGAAAACUUAAAGCCGAAUUUUGAAAACUCAAUAAAGUAGUUUCUGUUGCAGUCCUGAUUAGGUUAGGAAUAUGAUUGUUUAAAUCCUAAGAAAUCCUUAUAGGAUUCUAUCAUAUCUUUUAGAUGGUAUCCUUGUUUAAGUGGUAAUACGUAAAGGGUAAGAAAUUUACUUCCCUACUACUAUAAAUAAAGGCAUAAUGAGGGUGAGAAAGCACACCACAUAAGUCUUUCUAUGCUUGCCACACUCUCUCUCUAUGCUUGCUGCACCCUUUCUCUCAAUCUCUCAAUAAUACAUCAGUUAGAUAGGCCAUAUAAUACAUUAUCAUCACACUUUUGACGCUACGCUAAAGAGAGUUUGUUCAUAUUUCAGGGGAUUAUUAUGUUCUAAUCAUUAUUAUUAUGAUUUACUUUUUAUAUAUUGAAUUAAUGUACUUCUAUUGAUUCAAUUUACUUUUUCUGUGUUGAACGUGAUAGAACGCAUCAGAGCUGAAAUUCUAGAUUCCUAGAAGGAUUUUCUACAAAUUCAAAGGCUCAAUUUCGUUUUCUGCAAAUCAGAUUCUCCUAAAGUACAAGUUUGAUAUUUUCUUCGAUCUGAAGCAUAAACACAUUCCCCAUGAUGCAUGAACCCUUGAUAUAUAUUUUUGCUAUAUAUAUAGGGAAUUGUUAUUAGCACUCCAAAAAUCUCAUUCUACACUCCAAACAUUUUAUAUUAGGAAAGAAAAAUACACUUGUGAGGAGUGUAGAAUGAGAAUUUUGGAGUGUCAAUAAUACUUCCAUAUAUAUAUAUAUAUUGUAUAUUGCAUAUAUAUGUCAACAUAUAUAUGUUCAUGCAUAUACAAUUUAUAAUUGCUAUGUGGUAUUAUUGUGAGUCAAUGAAACGAAAGAAAAUAGAAACAUGAAUUUUUGGGUUUGAAAACUCUAGAAUUAGAAAGAAAAAAAUAAAUAAAUAUGGGACAUAGCGUUGGGUCGUAACUUUAAGCCGCGCCGAGCCAGACA